RNAcentral lists this ribosomal RNA (253 nucleotides) under uncultured bacterium. RNAcentral's name for it is "partial 16S ribosomal RNA". It matches the Rfam family "Bacterial small subunit ribosomal RNA", at positions 524 to 776 of the family's 1533-position model. The record is from RNAcentral.
UACGGAGGGUGCAAGCGUUAUCCGGAUUCACUGGGUUUAAAGGGUGCGUAGGUGGGUUUGUAAGUCAGUGGUGAAAUCUCCAAGCUUAACUUGGAAACUGCCGUUGAUACUAUAAAUCUUGAAUGUUGUGGAGGUGAGCGGAAUAUGUCAUGUAGCGGUGAAAUGCUUAGAUGUGACAUAGAACACCAAUUGCGAAGGCAGCUCACUACACAAAGAUUGACACUGAGGCACGAAAGCGUGGGGAUCAAACAGG